UGGGGAAUUUUGGACAAUGGGCGAAAGCCUGAUCCAGCAAUGCCGCGUGUGUGAAGAAGGCCUUCGGGUUGUAAAGCACUUUUGUCCGGAAAGAAAUCCUUGGCUCUAAUACAGUCGGGGGAUGACGGUACCGGAAGAAUAAGCACCGGCUAACUACGUGCCAGCAGCCGCGGUAAUACGUAGGGUGCAAGCGUUAAUCGGAAUUACUGGGCGUAAAGCGUGCGCAGGCGGUUUGCUAAGACCGAUGUGAAAUCCCCGGGCUCAACCUGGGAACUGCAUUGGUGACUGGCAGGCUAGAGUAUGGCAGAGGGGGGUAGAAUUCCACGUGUAGCAGUGAAAUGCGUAGAGAUGUGGAGGAAUACCGAUGGCGAAGGCAGCCCCCUGGGCCAAUACUGACGCUCAUGCACGAAAGCGUGGGGAGCAAACAGGAUUAGAUACCCUGGUAGUCCACGCCCUAAACGAUGUCAACUAGUUGUUGGGGAUUCAUUUCCUUAGUAACGUAGCUAACGCGUGAAGUUGACCGCCUGGGGAGUACGGUCGCAAGAUUAAAACUCAAAGGAAUUGAC
Molecule: ribosomal RNA, 566 nt
Filed under: uncultured bacterium
Lineage: Bacteria
Description: partial 16S ribosomal RNA
Rfam family: Bacterial small subunit ribosomal RNA
Source: RNAcentral